UCUCCGGCACCGGUGAAGCUGUGCCGACCGAAACCCUUAUUUCGCCCCUCUUUGCUCAGCAAAACCCACCACCACAACCGCCGUCAUCUAACCCCUCUGAUCUUCAUUUUCACACCAUCGUUGCCAUUAACUACCACACCCUCUCUCUACUUUGCAACCAUUUCUUGUUCAAAAUCAAGAUGUAGAAAAACGAGAAGGGAAUAUGAAUGUAGAAACAUUUUUUUUGGUGAUGCUGAGAUAUCAGAUUUGGAAACAGUGGUGA
This 262-nucleotide long non-coding RNA is filed under the name Helianthus annuus (common sunflower). RNAcentral describes it as "sRNA HanXRQr2_Chr13g0592311". Lineage: Eukaryota; Viridiplantae; Streptophyta; Magnoliopsida; Asterales; Asteraceae. The record is from RNAcentral.